This 671-nucleotide long non-coding RNA is filed under the name Nicotiana tabacum (common tobacco). RNAcentral describes it as "long non-coding RNA (NTAB_LNC016708)". The record is from RNAcentral. Lineage: Eukaryota; Viridiplantae; Streptophyta; Magnoliopsida; Solanales; Solanaceae.
AAUUCAAUGAUCUUCUUUCCUUCUUGCGUUCCUGAUAUAUAGGAGUGAUUUGCGACACGGCUUGAUUGAUCCAUCAUCAAAAUUUUCUGAUCUCUUUCUCCAUAGACUCUCCUUAAUUUACGAACUGACUUUCCCAUAUCAGCUGCGUUUGAUCUUAUUUCCUUUUGAUAGCAUUGCCUCCCUGAUUUCCUGCAAUCAAUUAGAGUAGAUUAGAUUUGCACAAUUGUCAUCAUUAAAACUUAGGUGUAACAACUUGGUUUAACGAUUAAUCAACAACUGAAGUCUUCUCAAUUAUUCAAGAUCUAGCAUUGUUUCAACGACAUCAUGAUACGUCCGUUCUGAACAAAGCAAUUCGUGAUGAAAAAGAACUGAAUUUGAAAAAGUACCUGAUUGUGAAAUAGAGAUUGCAUGUUUCUGACCAUUUAUGCUCUUUCUUGUGAUUCCAUGAAUUGACUUGAGUUUAAGAACAACGAACAGAAGAUUGAACAACUGCAACAAUGACAAUGUAUCAACGGCCUAAUCGAGCUACUUGAAAAGUAAAGGAGGAAAUCCAUAAAAUAAACGGAAAAAGCCUAAAAAUGCCACUCAACUUUCAGAAAUGGUUUAUCCAUGCCAUCCGUUAAAAAAAUGUUAUUUCCAUGCCACUGUCGUUAAAGAAAUGGCUCAUCCAU